GACGAACGCUGGCGGCGUGCUUAACACAUGCAAGUCGAGCGGUAAGGCCCUUUCGGGGGUACACGAGCGGCGAACGGGUGAGUAACACGUGGGUGACCUGCCCUCAGCUCUGGGAUAAGCCUGGGAAACUGGGUCUAAUACCGGAUAUGACUUCGCAUCGCAUGGUGUGGGGUGGAAAGUUUUUCGGCUGGGGAUGGGCCCGCGGCCUAUCAGCUUGUUGGUGGGGUGAUGGCCUACCAAGGCGACGACGGGUAGCCGGCCUGAGAGGGCGACCGGCCACACUGGUACUGAGACACGGCCCAGACUCCUACGGGAGGCAGCAGUGGGGAAUAUUGCGCAAUGGCGGAAGCCUGACGCAGCGACGCCGCGU
RNAcentral lists this ribosomal RNA (370 nucleotides) under uncultured bacterium. Its description in RNAcentral is "bacterial SSU rRNA". It matches the Rfam family "Bacterial small subunit ribosomal RNA", at positions 28 to 402 of the family's 1533-position model. The record is from RNAcentral.